Unclassified non-coding RNA from Macaca fascicularis (crab-eating macaque), 117 nucleotides. It matches the Rfam family "Metazoan signal recognition particle RNA". From Rfam's summary of the family: The signal recognition particle (SRP) is a universally conserved ribonucleoprotein. It is involved in the co-translational targeting of proteins to membranes. The record is from Ensembl. NCBI's taxonomy places the organism in Eukaryota, Metazoa, Chordata, Mammalia, Primates, Cercopithecidae.
GCUGGGCGUGGUGGCUCACGCCUGUAAUCCCAGUACUUUGGGAAGCUGAGGUGGGCGGGUCACCUGAGGUCAGGAGUUUGAGACCAGCCUGGCCAACAUGGUGAAACCCCAUCUCUA